AUCAUUGACAGCACCAAGAGAUCGCACCGCGGCCGCUCGUAAGGGUCGCGUGGCCCUUCGUUGCCCCCAACGGGCGUGGGCGCAGUGGAGCGCAUGGCCGUCGCGUACGUACGACGACCCCAAGUCUGCAUGGGCUGGUGACCCUUUGCUAUCCUUAGCAGCUGGUGGCGGGGGGUGGGGGACCGGGGAACCCCCAACGAGAUCCGUAGGACAGCAACGCGGAGGCGUCCGUCGACUCCACAAUGAGGAACACAUGGGCGCCGUUUGCCCAUGUACGAGGGACGGCCGUGAGCCAUGGCGUCCACUGGUCGGUGAUCCACACGACAUAUGCGUGCGGCCGGGACGCGUACGGCUGCGUUCCGGAAGUCGAGGCAUCCAACCCUCUCGUCCGCAGAUCUAUCUGAGCCCUGUCGUCGGACGAGAUCCAUAAUAUUUUGACAUUCACAACAGGCCUGCAGAUCCAAGAUGAGCUGGAGAUUCCCGAGGAACUGUGAUGACACAUGGCUAAUGGAAUCCAAAUGUGUGCCAAGAAGAUACCGGCAGAUGAACACCCCGAACUAGAGGAGAUUCCCUUUUGCAUCUUUUCAUAGAUAGCUGCUCCGUGACAUGGUUUAUGAUUUCCAACUUCAAGUACAUGUAAUUGGCCAAUACAAACUGCACUUGUAGGUCCAUAGCAUACGAAGAACCAUCGAGAUAGCAAACUGGAUUUGUUCAUGGAAAAAGUUGGUCUUGCAACUGUUAGAACGUACGAUUUCAUAAAUGGAUAUUAAUUUUUUGGCUUUGUUA
Musa acuminata AAA Group (dessert banana) is the source of this 786-nucleotide long non-coding RNA. RefSeq lists it as uncharacterized. Lineage: Eukaryota; Viridiplantae; Streptophyta; Magnoliopsida; Zingiberales; Musaceae. The record is from RefSeq and is a predicted model, not a curated record. The transcript has 2 exons.